RNAcentral lists this ribosomal RNA (468 nucleotides) under uncultured bacterium. RNAcentral's name for it is "partial 16S ribosomal RNA". It matches the Rfam family "Bacterial small subunit ribosomal RNA", at positions 28 to 507 of the family's 1533-position model. The record is from RNAcentral.
GACGAACGCCGGCGGCGUGCUUAACACAUGCAAGUCGAACGGAAAGGCCCUGCUUUUGUGGGGUGCUCGAGUGGCGAACGGGUGAGUAACACGUGAGUAACCUGCCCUUGACUUUGGGAUAACUUCAGGAAACUGGGGCUAAUACCGGAUAGGAGCUCCUGCUGCAUGGUGGGGGUUGGAAAGUUUCGGCGGUUGGGGAUGGACUCGCGGCUUAUCAGCUUGUUGGUGGGGUAGUGGCUUACCAAGGCUUUGACGGGUAGCCGGCCUGAGAGGGUGACCGGCCACAUUGGGACUGAGAUACGGCCCAGACUCCUACGGUAGGCAGCAGUGGGGAAUAUUGCACAAUGGGCGGAAGCCUGAUGCAGCAACGCCGCGUGCGGGAUGACGGCCUUCGGGUUGUAAACCGCUUUCGCCUGUGACGAAGCGUGAGUGACGGUAAUGGGUAAAGAGGCACCGGCUAACUACGUG